GUCUACGGCCAUGCCACCCCGAAUGUGGCCAAUCUCAUCAGAUCUCGGAAACCAAGCAGUGUCCGACCUCGUUAGCACUUGGAUGGGAGACCACCUAGGAAUACCAGAUGCUGUAGGUG
RNAcentral lists this ribosomal RNA (119 nucleotides) under Pteropus alecto (black flying fox). Lineage: Eukaryota; Metazoa; Chordata; Mammalia; Chiroptera; Pteropodidae. The record is from RNAcentral.